This 136-nucleotide microRNA precursor is filed under the name Hordeum vulgare. RNAcentral describes it as "microRNA MIR1122". It matches the Rfam family "MIR1120/MIR1122 microRNA precursor family". Lineage: Eukaryota; Viridiplantae; Streptophyta; Magnoliopsida; Poales; Poaceae. The record is from RNAcentral.
UAACUAUUCCCUCCGUCCCAAAAUUCUUGUCUUAGAUUUGUUUAGAUAUGAAUGUAUCUAGUCAAGUUUUAGUAUUUAGAUACAUCCAUUUCUAGAUAAAGCUAAGACAAGAAUUUUGAGACGGAGGGAGUACUUU